AGGGUGAAAGGGUGCGGUAAGAGCGCACCGCACCUCUGGUAACAGAGUGUGGCAAGGUAAACUCCACCCGGAGCAAGACCAAAUAGGAUCCCUCAACGUGUGGCCCGCAUGGGGAUCGGGUAGGUUGCUUGAAUCAGUGAGCGAUUGCUGAUCUAGAGGAAUGGUUGCCCACGACAGAACCCGGCUUACGGCCAACUCCACUC
Molecule: RNase P RNA, 203 nt
Filed under: Alteromonas sp.
Lineage: Bacteria; Pseudomonadati; Pseudomonadota; Gammaproteobacteria; Alteromonadales; Alteromonadaceae
Description: partial RNase P RNA component class A
Rfam family: Bacterial RNase P class A
About the family: Ribonuclease P (RNase P) is a ubiquitous endoribonuclease, found in archaea, bacteria and eukarya as well as chloroplasts and mitochondria. Its best characterised activity is the generation of mature 5'-ends of tRNAs by cleaving the 5'-leader elements of precursor-tRNAs. Cellular RNase Ps are ribonucleoproteins.
Source: RNAcentral